UAUCAUAACCCAUGGAUGUCUCUCAUUGU
This 29-nucleotide non-coding RNA is filed under the name Mus musculus (house mouse). Lineage: Eukaryota; Metazoa; Chordata; Mammalia; Rodentia; Muridae. The record is from RNAcentral.